GACGAACGCUGGCGGCGUGCUUAACACAUGCAAGUCGAACGAUGAUCUCCAGCUUGCUGGGGGGAUUAGUGGCGAACGGGUGAGUAACACGUGAGUAACCUGCCCUGGACUCUGGGAUAACCCCGAGAAAUCGGAGCUAAUACCGGAUAGGACCUGGAACCGCAUGGUUUUGGGUGGAAAGUUUUUCGGUCUGGGAUGGA
Molecule: ribosomal RNA, 200 nt
Filed under: uncultured bacterium
Lineage: Bacteria
Description: partial 16S ribosomal RNA
Rfam family: Bacterial small subunit ribosomal RNA
Source: RNAcentral